CCCCGAGUAGCACAACGGCUAGUGUGGUCGCCUGAUGAGCGAUCGAUCGUGGUUCGACUCCACGCUCAGGGACCA
This 75-nucleotide transfer RNA is filed under the name Firmicutes bacterium ADurb.Bin506. Its description in RNAcentral is "tRNA-Ile". It matches the Rfam family "tRNA". Rfam says of the family: Transfer RNA (tRNA) molecules are approximately 80 nucleotides in length. Their secondary structure includes four short double-helical elements and three loops (D, anti-codon, and T loops). Further hydrogen bonds mediate the characteristic L-shaped molecular structure. tRNAs have two regions of fundamental functional importance: the anti-codon, which is responsible for specific mRNA codon recognition, and the 3' end, to which the tRNAs corresponding amino acid is attached (by aminoacyl-tRNA synthetases). tRNAs cope with the degeneracy of the genetic code in two manners: having more than one tRNA (with a specific anti-codon) for a particular amino acid; and 'wobble' base-pairing, i.e. permitting non-standard base-pairing at the 3rd anti-codon position. The record is from RNAcentral. Lineage: Bacteria; Bacillati; Bacillota.